Molecule: long non-coding RNA, 1269 nt
Organism: Leptopilina heterotoma
Lineage: Eukaryota; Metazoa; Arthropoda; Insecta; Hymenoptera; Figitidae
Exons: 5
Source: RefSeq, a predicted model, not a curated record
GAUGAAUUCUUUACUCCUGUAUACCGUAGAAUUGUGGGCGAAUAAUACACUAAGGAAUAAUUUUCACGUACUUCAUUUUGUGUCGAAUAUAAUUAAGAUGAUUGGAAUAAUAUUAUUUUCAAGUGUCAAACGUCACGGAUACAACAUGCAACAUUUUUUGGAAUAAACCUAUUGAUGGUGACGAAUUUUUAGAUUAUGAUAUAUAUUCAAGUAAAGAUGAAGAGAAUAUGUCUCGUUACUUUCGUAUAACUUCUCUUAAGAAAAUACGUUUUUCAAUUCCGAAUCUUGAACCUGGCUCUAAAUAUAAAAUCACCGUGAUAUCUAAAAUUUACAACCAAAUCCUUACUCAAAACUCUACGGAUUGCAUAACUAGAUCUAACAUAGGUCCACUCAGGGUAGUAGAAGUAACGACUACAUCUUGCAAACUUCAAUGGAGAAAACCAAACAAUGGGAGCGAGUUCAUAAUGUACACUAUAAGACCACGUGAAGAAGGCGUGAACAACUUUAUAAUGAUGACUCACUUCUCUAGUCAUCGCUACAUAGAUUUUACGGUCCAAAAUCUUAAAUCUGGAUCUAGAUAUAAUAUUUCAGUGUAUGCUAACCUUAACAAUAUCAAACCAAUAUCAACGAUAUGCGACACUUUGACUUCAAAUACUGUUUCUGCGGCAGUCUAGGUUUUAUACGUCACGAAUACAACAUGUAAAAUUACUUGAAAGAAACCUACGUAAACUUCCAAGAAAGAUAAAUUUUCUAAACUGCAAAAAUUGUGUGAAAUAAAAAUUACAUUCAUGUUAAUAAAUUGUGUAAAAUAUUUUUCCCAUAGCAGAAAAUUAUGUUCAUACUCGACGAAGGUUCCUAAAACUUUUCAUGUUUUUCCAAAAAAUUGAAAUCGUCAAAAAUGCAAAAAAAAAUUAUUUUUUCACAUAUUAUCAUGUACACUAGCAAAAUGCCAAUUUUGAGAAUUUUUGGUCAGCUUUUAUGAGCUUAAAAGAAUAUAAUAGUGCAUAAAAUUUAAUGUUACAAAUUUUUUUAUUUAUUCCUUUAUUUUUUAAAAAAGUCAUUUUUGAACUCCUGCACAAAAAUUUGUUCAAUUUUUGUAUUGGUGAUAUUCUUGCUCGUAAUCUUUGUAGGUUAUAUGAAAAUGACCAAUAGAAAUUCAGAGAGUAAUUUGAAACGCUACAUGACGGAACUUUAUGAUUCUGGUAAGCAAUUUUACCGAAAUAUAAAUGUUUUAAAAAAUUUUCAUAUUUUUUUAUAAUUCUUUAACUU